Non-coding RNA from Nicotiana tabacum (common tobacco), 3217 nucleotides. NCBI's taxonomy places the organism in Eukaryota, Viridiplantae, Streptophyta, Magnoliopsida, Solanales, Solanaceae. The record is from RefSeq and is a predicted model, not a curated record.
CCCAAAAGCCCAACAUUGGGCUUCAAGAACCCAACUGCCAAAGAUCAUCCUUUUGACAAACAAGAAGAAUCACCGACGAUAGACACCAUGAUGGCAUCGGGUGAGAAUAAUGAUCGACGUCGGAGUAAUACUUUUCAUGAAGGUGUGACUAACAAGAAAAAAGGAAAAGAAAAUGCUACAGUGUCUAGAUUGAGUCCACCUCAUUCUUCCCAUCCUAACAAGAAAAAAGGAAAAGAAAAUGCUACAUGUCUAGAUCGAGUCCACCUCGUUCUUCCACUCCAUUAGUGCAUUCUCGCUCACAGGGCCUGCCACCAUUAUCAUAUCCUUUCUAUGGUAUGCCUUCCUCGAGCUACCCACCGAUACCUCCCCGGGUCUAUCCCGGGAUGCCUCACUCGAGCUAUCCAUCUAUGCCUUCCCCAGGCUGUAGCUCGAUUCCUCCCUCGGGCUAUCCCGGGAUGCCAUCCUCUGCUCCUUUUUCCAAUAUGCCUCCUCCCGGCUAUAGCUCGAAGCAACAGCCUAUGGGCCAUACAUAUGGCAUGCACUCAGCUUAUCUCGCUGCCACGGAAUGAUCUACCCAUCAUAUGUCCGGGGGUUCGGUAACUCAACCAUCUCCAGAGUCUCCAUCAUCAGAGGCCACUCCAUCUCCACGUCUUUCUAAGUUGAAUAUUAGAGCGAGCAGUCUGAGGCAUUGCAUGCUCUUUCGACUCCGUCUUCAGUUGAUGGUCCAAAUCUUCCACCACCUGGACAUGUAGAUCUUCCACCAUCCGAACAUGCAGAUGAGAUAAAUAGAGUACACCUCAUUGAUGAAGGGACCGGGUUUUAUACUUCUAGACCAGCUGCAAAUGCAAUUUCAAUUUCCAUUAGAAGGAUUUAUAAUGGUGCCUACCCGACUUGGAGUCAUAUUCCAUAUCAUCAGCAGCAAGCGAUGCUUAAUGAGUUUAUGGUACGAAUACCUUGUUUGCAAAAAAACUAUAUAUCUAUCUAACUUUAUUUAUCAACUAACACUAUAUAUUUUGAUUGCAGAAAAGGUGCACAUGGAGCCCUGUCGAGGAUCAUGUUAUUAGAAGCAAUUUUGCAAAGAGGGCUAGUCAUCGAUUAUCAGACAAGUUCUCCGAUGCUCGGGGCCAAAAUAUAAUGCCUGAGUGGGUUCGAAAAGAUCAUUGGGAGGAGCUUCUUAAAUACUGGGCCACUGCGAAAUUUAAAAAGGAGCAAUCAGGCAAAAGCCGCUCAAAAUUUUGAGAAGGGUGGCUCGUUGCACACUUGUGGUUCUGUCCAUGAGGACUGCUAGAAGGACAUCGGUAAUUAUUUCAACUAAUGUUAAAAAAAAUCAAGACUAAGAUCUUUAAAUAAUUACCAAUUUCCUCCUAGCAAUCCCCAUGGAUACUGAACCACAAGUGUGCAACGAGUAAUCCUUCUCAGAAUUUCAAGCGGUUUUUGCCUGAUUGCUCUUGUUUUUAAAUUCCUUGGCCAGUAUUUAAGAAGCUCCUCCCAUUGAUCUUUUCGAACCCAAUUUUCGAACCCACUCAGGCAUUAUAUUUUGGCCCCGAGCAUCGGAGAACAUGUCUGAUAAUCGAUGACUAACCCUCUUUGCAAAAUUGCUUUUAAUAACAUGAUCCUCGGCAGGGCUCCAUGUGCAUAUUUUCUGCAAUCAAAAUAUAUAGCGUUAGUUGAUAAAUAAAGUUAGAUAGAGAUAUAUUUUUCUGCAAACAAGGUAUUCGUACCAUAAACUCAUUAAGCAUCGCUUGCUGCUGAUGAUAUGGAAUAUGACUCCAAGUUGGGUAGACACCAUUAUAAAUCCUUCUAAUGACAAUUGAAAUUGCAUUUGCAGCUGGUCUAGAAGGAUAAAACCUGCAAGACAAUGACAAACAUUUACAAAAUUGUUAAUUCAAUAAUUAAAAUAUAAGAUAAACAUUAAAAUAGCAUAAAAGAUUAAGCUUACCCAGUCCCUUUAACAAUGAUGCGUACUCUAUUUAUCCCAUCUGCAUGUCCAGGUGGUGGAAGAUCUACAUGUCCAGGUGGUGGAAGAUUUGGACCAUCAACUGAAUAAGGAGUCGAAGGAGUAAGCGAUACCUUAGAACUGCUCGCUCUAAUAUUCAACCUAGAAAGACAUGGAGUUGGAGUGGCCUCUGAUGGUGGAGACUUUGGAGAUGGUCUGAGUUACCGAACGCCCGAACACAUGACGGGUAGAUAGCUCCAUUGCAGCGAGAUAAGCUGAGUGCAUGCCAUGUGUAGCUGUAAACGGCUGUUUCAUCGAGCUAUAGCCUGGAGGAGGCAUAUUGAAAAAAGGCGUAGAGGAUGGCAUCUCGGGAUAGCCGAGGGAGAAAUCGAGCUACAGUCUGGGAAAGGCAUAGAUGGAUAGCUCGAGUGAGGCAUCCUAGGAUAGAUCGGGGGAGGCGUCGGUGGGUAACUCGAGGGAGGCAUACCAUAGAAAGGAUAUGAUAUUGGUGGCUGCCCUGUGAGCAAGAAUGCACUGAUGGAUUGGAAGAACGAGGUGGAUUGAUCUAGACACUGUAGCCUUUUUUUUCCCCCUUUAUUCUUGUUAGGAGUGGAAGAAUGAGGUGGACUCGAUUUAGACACUGCAGCAUUUUCUUUUCCUUUUUUCUUGUUAGUCACACCCUCACGAGAACUAUUACUUUGACGUCGAUCAUUAUUCUCACCGGAUGCCAUCUACAUAAUAAGAAUGUUAAAAAAUAAGUUAGUAAAAAAUAUUGAUUUAAAAUAUAAAAAUAAAUUAUGUUAAAUAUUGAUUUAAACAGAAGCUUAAAGAUAUAUUGCGUUAAGUAAAUAAUGACUUGAAUAAAAACACCUGUUAUCUUUGAACCUGUAUCACAAUAGACGAGAGAGGUUAGAGCCAUAACCACAAAAAGAGAUGAACAAAUAAUAAUUAACUAAACAAAUAACAUGUCAUUAACAACACGCUAAAGAAACACAUGAAAUAGAAGCUAAGAAAAGAAAUAGACACAAUAAAAUUCGCGACCAUUUUUAUCAUAAAAUAGUGGAGAGAAUCCCAUACAAGAAAUAGAAAGGUAGACAAAAAGAAAACUAGCUAAUCCAAAGAGAGAAAGAACCAACAAAAACUCUCUUUUUAAUCCUCCUCGCUUAUUUCAUCUUCAAGAAGGGGAGCCCAUGUGACCAGGAGGUCACUAGUUUGAGCCGUGGAAACAGUCUUUUGCAGAAAUGCAGGGUAAGGCUACAUACGAUAGACCCUUGUGAUGCG